Molecule: ribosomal RNA, 309 nt
Filed under: uncultured eukaryote
Lineage: Eukaryota
Description: partial 18S ribosomal RNA
Rfam family: Eukaryotic small subunit ribosomal RNA
Source: RNAcentral
CCCUUAGAUGUUCUGGGCGGCCCGCGCACUACAAUGGCGUGUGCAGCGAGUGCCGAAGUAGAGUUUUCCGAGGUAUUCUUGCAAUGCUCGUUUUGAUGGGGAUAGACCCUUGCAACUGUUGGUUUUGAACGAGGAAUUCCUUGUAAGCAUGGUUUAUCAUCCGACGCUGAAUGCGUCCCUGCCCUUUGUACACACCGCCCGUCGCUCCUACCGAUGAGUCGUCCGGUGAAGUUCGUAGACCUCGUGAUUGCGGAUCAUUGGGGGAAGCAAAAUGAACCUCGCGGUUUAGAGGAAGGAGAAGUCGUAACA